GGGAAGGGUUAGGAGCUUGUGAAACCAUGCUCAAUCCCUUUCCCUUAAAAUAGGACUUGGCCUUCAGUGGCUCACCACAACAUAAACAUCGAUUGAAAAUAAUCUUCUUAGCCUGCAUUGAAUCAUCUUUUCUUCCAGUAGGUAGAGUAAAAUGAUGAUCUUGAUCGUUAUCAACAAACAUUUCAAUAUUCUUAUGCAAAAUCCCAACAAGAGACUUAUAUGUAUGGCCAUCAGUUGCCUUCUCUGUAGCAAAUGAAAGAAGGCAAGUCUCACACAUUUUUCUUAUAUCAGAAAGCUUCUUGUGGUUGUGACAAUAAGCCAAACGUGAAACCUCCUUCUUAUGAGACUCGCAUACAGAAUCAUUGUAAUAAAAAUCGGCAGCUCUAUGAACCAGAACAUGAUC
Molecule: unclassified non-coding RNA, 403 nt
Filed under: Hevea brasiliensis (rubber tree)
Lineage: Eukaryota; Viridiplantae; Streptophyta; Magnoliopsida; Malpighiales; Euphorbiaceae
Source: RNAcentral